AGUGAACGCUGGCGGUAGGCCUAACACAUGCAAGUCGAACGGCAGCACAGUAAGAGCUUGCUCUUACGGGUGGCGAGUGGCGGACGGGUGAGGAAUACAUCGGAAUCUACUUUUUCGUGGGGGAUAACGUAGGGAAACUUACGCUAAUACCGCAUACGACCUACGGGUGAAAGCAGUGGAUCUUCGGACCUUGCGCGAUUGAAUUAGCCGAUGUCGGAUUAGCUAGUUGGCGGGGUAAAGGCCCACCAAGGCGACGAUCCGUAGCUGGUCUGAGAGGAUGAUCAGCCACACUGGAACUGAGACACGGUCCAGACUCCUACGGGAGGCAGCAGUGGGGAAUAUUGGACAAUGGGCGCAAGCCUGAUCCAGCCAUACCGCGUGAGUGAAGAAGGCCUUCGGGUUGUAAAGCCCUUUUGUUGGGAAAGAAAAGCAGUAGGUUAAUACCUCGCUGUUCUGACGGUACCCAAAGAAUAAGCCCCGGCUAACUUCGUG
This 492-nucleotide ribosomal RNA is filed under the name uncultured bacterium. Its description in RNAcentral is "partial 16S ribosomal RNA". It matches the Rfam family "Bacterial small subunit ribosomal RNA", at positions 29 to 507 of the family's 1533-position model. The record is from RNAcentral.